UCGGGAAUUUUGGGCAAUGGGCGAAAGCCUGACCCAGCAACGCCGCGUGAGGGAUGAAGUAUUUCGGUAUGUAAACCUCGAAAGAAUGGGAAGAAUAAAUGACGGUACCAUUUAUAAGCUCCGGCUAACUACGUGCCAGCAGCCGCGGUAAUACGUAGGGAGCAAGCGUUGUUCGGAUUUACUGGGUGUAAAGGGCGCGCAGGCGGGAUAAAAAGUCAGUGGUGAAAUCCUACAGCUUAACUGUAGAACUGCCUUUGAUACUUUUAUUCUUGAGUUCGGGAGAGAGAGACGGAAUUCCAGGUGUAGUGGUGAAAUACGUAGAUAUCUGGAAGAACACCAGUUGCGAAGGCGGUCUCUUGAUCCGACACUGACGCUGAGGCGCGAAAGCGUGGGGAGCAAACA
RNAcentral lists this ribosomal RNA (402 nucleotides) under uncultured bacterium. Its description in RNAcentral is "bacterial SSU rRNA". It matches the Rfam family "Bacterial small subunit ribosomal RNA", at positions 355 to 774 of the family's 1533-position model. The record is from RNAcentral.